Molecule: small nucleolar RNA, 123 nt
Organism: Nomascus leucogenys (northern white-cheeked gibbon)
Lineage: Eukaryota; Metazoa; Chordata; Mammalia; Primates; Hylobatidae
Source: Ensembl
UGAUCUGACAUGGGAAGAGUAGCUUCUAGUUGGUAGAGCCCAUCUCACAUCAGCCAGAGACAAAGCAACCCCUUGUUUAUCCUGGCUUGGCUUUUGGCCUGUGUCCAUGCCUUGGACACAUGG